Molecule: ribosomal RNA, 114 nt
Filed under: Desulfovibrionaceae bacterium CG1_02_65_16
Lineage: Bacteria; Pseudomonadati; Thermodesulfobacteriota; Desulfovibrionia; Desulfovibrionales; Desulfovibrionaceae
Source: RNAcentral
CUUGGUGGCCGUGGAGGCGGGGGUACACCCGAUCCCAUUCCGAACUCGGAAGUUAAGCCCGCCAUCGCCGAUGAUACUGCGGUUUAAUCGUGGGAAAGUAGGUCGCCGCCAAGA